AGUGAACGCUGGCGGUAGGCCUAACACAUGCAAGUCGAACGGCAGCACAGUAAGAGCUUGCUCUUACGGGUGGCGAGUGGCGGACGGGUGAGGAAUACAUCGGAAUCUACUUUUUCGUGGGGGAUAACGUAGGGAAACUUACGCUAAUACCGCAUACGACCUACGGGUGAAAGCAGGGGAUCUUCGGACCUUGCGCGAUUGAAUGAGCCGAUGUCGGAUUAGCUAGUUGGCGGGGUAAAGGCCCACCAAGGCGACGAUCCGUAGCUGGUCUGAGAGGAUGUUCGCCACCCUUGAAACUGAGACACGGCCCAGAUCCCUACGGAGGGCGCAGUGGGGAAAUUUUGGACAAGGGGGGCAAGCUUGUCCAGGCCAACCGGGUGGGGGGAAGAAGGCUUUGGGUUUGUAAAGCCUUUUUGUUGGGAAAAAAAGGCGCCAGGUUAAAACCCCGCUGUCUGACGGUACCCAAAGAAUAAGCACCGGCUAACUUCGUG
RNAcentral lists this ribosomal RNA (491 nucleotides) under uncultured bacterium. Its description in RNAcentral is "partial 16S ribosomal RNA". It matches the Rfam family "Bacterial small subunit ribosomal RNA", at positions 29 to 507 of the family's 1533-position model. The record is from RNAcentral.